CCCUUAGAUGUUCUGGGCCGCACGCGCGCUACACUGAUGCAUUCAACGAGUCUAAAACCUGCUCUGAUAGGGGUGGGUAAUCUUUUGAAUGUGCAUCGUGAUUGGGAUAGAUGAUUGAAAUUUUUCAUCUUCAACGAGGAAUGCCUAGUAAACGCAAGUCAUCAGCUUGCAUUGAUUACGUCCCUGCCCUUUGUACACACCGCCCGUCGCUCCUACCGAUUGAAUGAUCCGAUGAAUAUCAUGGAUUGAGGAUGCAAGUAGGUUCACCUAUCUUCAUCUUCGAGAAGUGAAGUAAAUCUUAUCAUUUAGAGGAAGGAGAAGUCGCAACA
This 329-nucleotide ribosomal RNA is filed under the name uncultured eukaryote. RNAcentral's name for it is "partial 18S ribosomal RNA". It matches the Rfam family "Eukaryotic small subunit ribosomal RNA", at positions 1470 to 1796 of the family's 1831-position model. The record is from RNAcentral.